GUAAAAGUCGUAACAAGGUUUCCGUAGGUGAACCUGCGGAAGGAUCAUUACCUAGAGUUGUAGGCUUUGCCUGCUAUCUCUUACCCAUGUCUUUUGAGUACCUUACGUUUCCUCGGUGGGUUCGCCCACCGAUUGGACAAACUUAAACCCUUUGCAGUUGAAAUCAGCGUCUGAAAAAACUUAAUAGUUACAACUUUCAACAACGGAUCUCUUGGUUCUGGCAUCGAUGAAGAACGCAGCGAAAUGCGAUAAGUAGUGUGAAUUGCAGAAUUCAGUGAAUCAUCGAAUCUUUGAACGCACAUUGCGCCCCUUGGUAUUCCAUGGGGCAUGCCUGUUCGAGCGUCAUUUGUACCUUCAAGCUCUGCUUGGUGUUGGGUGUUUGUCUCCUGUAGACUCGCCUUAAAACAAUUGGCAGCCGGCGUAUUGAUUUCGGAGCGCAGUACAUCUCGCGCUUUGCACUCAUAACGACGACGUCCAAAAGUACAUUUUUACACUCUUGACCUCGGAUCAGGUAGGGAUACCCGCUGAACUUAAGCAU
RNAcentral lists this ribosomal RNA (538 nucleotides) under Ampelomyces sp. F156. RNAcentral's name for it is "eukaryotic LSU rRNA". The stretch from base 192 to 345 matches the Rfam family "5.8S ribosomal RNA". Lineage: Eukaryota; Fungi; Ascomycota; Dothideomycetes; Pleosporales; Phaeosphaeriaceae. The record is from RNAcentral.